RNAcentral lists this ribosomal RNA (426 nucleotides) under Nocardioidaceae bacterium Ellin7098. Its description in RNAcentral is "bacterial SSU rRNA". It matches the Rfam family "Bacterial small subunit ribosomal RNA", at positions 28 to 452 of the family's 1533-position model. The record is from RNAcentral. Lineage: Bacteria; Bacillati; Actinomycetota; Actinomycetes; Propionibacteriales; Nocardioidaceae.
GACGAACGCUGGCGGCGUGCUUAACACAUGCAAGUCGAGCGGAAAGGCCUCCUUCGGGGGGUACUCGAGCGGCGAACGGGUGAGUAACACGUGAGUAAUCUGCCCCUCACUCUGGGAUAACUGCCUGAAAGGGUGGCUAAUACCGGAUGCGACCGUCCCCUGCAUGGGGUGGUGGUGGAAAGGGUUUCUGGUGGGGGAUGUGCUCGCGGCCUAUCAGCUUGUUGGUGGGGUAAUGGCCUACCAAGGCUUUGACGGGUAGCCGGCCUGAGAGGGUGACCGGCCACACUGGGACUGAGACACGGCCCAGACUCCUACGGGAGGCAGCAGUGGGGAAUAUUGGACAAUGGGNGGAAGCCUGAUCCAGCAACGCCGCGUGAGGGAUGACGGCCUUCGGGUUGUAAACCUCUUUGCAGCACAGACGAAGCG